CUGCAAACACAGAUCAAAUGGGACGACCCGCUGAAUUUAGGCAUGUUAUUAAAUGGAGGAAAAGAAACUAACCAGAAUUCCCUCAGUAACGGCGAGUGAAGAUGAAAGUGCCCAGCGCAGAAUCCCUGCCUGGUGGCGGGUGCGGGAAAUGUGGCGUACAGAAGACCGACUGAUCCAGGCUCAUGCUACGGAUGGCGUUAGAGCAGUAGCAGCCCCCAGCGUGCCGGACUCUGAACUUCUCAGAGUGGGGUUUCUUUGGAAUGCAGCCCAAAGCAGGCGGUAAACUUCAUCUGAAGCUAAAUCCAUGCACAAGACCGAUAGAUAACACGUUAUGUAAGGGAAACGUUAAAAAUAACUUUCACGAUAGGGCUCAAGAAGGCAUGAAACCGUUGAAAGGUUAACGUGUAGGCAUGGAGGAUUAAACACAGUAGGAAGGUCAGCCACCUAGAAUGGCUGAACCCCUUGUGUGACUGCAACCUGGGUGCACCUUGCUCCCGCAGGGUGCAUUACAACCACCUCUGGAUUGGGUGGAAAGGCCCCAGGUGGAAGGUGGCUUUCCACUCUGGCAGCGUGUUACAUAUCCCUGGCAGCAGUGUCUGUGAGGCCGAGGGAGAUUGGCCACCACUGCGCCCUCCUCGGGCAACCGUUCCACCCCUCUCGAGGGUCACCAGGGCAUCAAAUGGGGUAGACUGUUCUCAGUGUGCACUGAACACACCACGCCACUGGGUAGAGAGCCUCACAUACCCAACCCAUCUUGAAAUCAUGACUAAGGAGGCUAACAAGUGCGUAAAUCGGUGGGCGGAUGAAACCCUGUGCCAAUGAAGGUGAGGGCUGGCACACGCUGGCUGAGGUUUGAUGACAUUGCAGAGUCACGGCAGGGGUGCCACAUGGUCAUCUCACCCACUCUAUCGGGGUGGUGGAGCAUGAACGUGUGUGAUAGGACCUGAAAGAUGGUGCACUAUGCCUGGGAAGGGAAAAGCCAGAGGAAACUCCGGUGGAGGUCCAUAGUCACCUAGGAAUAGUGGCAAAAGACUAAUCAAACCACCUGGCAGCUGGAUCCCUCCAAAUGUUUCCCUCAGGAUAGCUGCUGGUCAGAAACCCCAGGUUUAUAUGGUAAAGCAAAUGAUUGGAGUUGCCGAAAUUAUCUCAACCUAGUCUCAAACUUUAAAUGGUUAAAUGGUUACGUAGCCUGGCUCUCUGGUGUGGAGCCAGGCAUCAAAUGUGAGUGCCCAGUUGGUCACUUUUGGUGAGCAGAACUGGCCCUGCUGGAUGAAAUGCAUGCCAUGUUAAGGCACCCAAUGCCAAUGCUCAUCAGACCCCUGAAAAUGUGUUGGUUGAUAUAGACAGGGAAAGGAUGACCAUGGAAGUCAGAAUCUGCUAAGGAGUGUGUUUCAACUCACCGUCUGAAUCUACUAGCUCUGAAAAUGGAUGGUGCUGGAUUUGCAGGUCCAUACCCGGCCAUCGCCGGCACUGAGAGCAGUGGGGGCCAAGCCACUAAGAGUGGGAGAGCCGCUGUGUUGCACAUAGAAGCAAUGGGAGGGGCCUGACUGGAGCCACCACAGGUGUAGAUCUUGCUGGUAGCAGCAAAUAUUCAAAGGAAAUAAUAGAAGGCUGAAGUGGAGAAGAGUUCAAUGUGAACAGCAGUUGAACAUGGGUGAAUCUGUCCUAAGAGAUGGGCAAGCACCAUUCAGAAGGGACAGGUUACCUGUUACCCUCAGCUGAUCCAAACGGAGUCUGGUUCAGAUUCCUGAACCCUGAAUGGUGAAGACAGGUGCCCUCGUGGUGUCCAGUGCGGUAACACAAACGAUUCCUGUGAAGCCAGCAGGAUCCCUUGGGAGAGUUCUCUCUUCUUUGUGAAAGCAGGUAACCCUGCAACGUGUUUGUCUUGAGAGGAGGAUCUGAGACUUGGAAAGCGUGAUGGUCCCCAUGGCUUCUGGUGAGCUCUUGCUCAUCCUUGGAAAUCCGGGGAAGAUGGUGUAAAUCUCAUGCGGCACAUACCAAUAACCGCAUUAGAUCUCCUAGGUGAACAGCCUCUGGCAUGUUACAACAAUAUAGGUAAGGGAAGUCAGAUCUGUAACUUCAGGAUAAGGAUUGGCUCUAAGGGCUCUUUCGGUCAGAUUUGGGUGUGAAGCGGUUCUGGGCACGCACUGCGGCUGGACGAGGUGUCUCCACACAGGGGGGCAGUGCCAAUUCCAGAUGCGAGGCAGACACUUCCUGUGGAUCGACCCUGCUGCGGUGGUUGCCUCUCUCUGUUCCCCUCCCGGGGUUUGAAGUCAGCAUUCUCCUCAGCCGAUGCCUAGCAGCUGACCUGGGAAAUCUGAUUGUGAGGAAUUUGACUGUUUAAUUUAAAAAUGCAUUGUGAAGGCAGUGGCGGGUGUUUAUGCAAUGUGAUUUUUUGCCCAGUUCUCUAAAUGUCAAAGCUUGGGUAAACGGAGGGAGUAACUAUGACCCUGAUAAGGUAGCCAAAUGCCUUGUAAUCUAAUUAGUGAUGCAUAAAUGAGAUUCCAAAUGUCCUUACUGACUAUAUAGAGACACCACAGCUAAGGGAAUGGGCUUGGCAGUAUCAGCCGGGGAAAGAAUACUGUGUUGAGCUUGACUAUAGUCUGGCACUGUGAAGAGGCAUGAUAGGUGUAGGAUAAGUGGGAGGCCCUCAGUUGGCCAGUAAAAUACAACUAUUCAUCAUUUUUUCACUUACCCGGAGUGACAGGGUGAGCACCAUGGGGCUCUCGCUUCUGGCUCCAAGUGCCUGUCACCCACUCGGCAUGACCCUCUCGGGGACAGUGGCAGGUGGGGAGUUUGACUGGGCUGGUACACCUGUCAAAAUUGUAGAGGCAGGUGUCAUGCGGCGAGCUCAGGGAGGACAGAAUCAUCCUGCAAAGUAGAAGGGCAAAAGCAAGCUUGAUCUCAAUUUUCAGUAUGAAUACAGAACAUAAUGUGACCCCUCAGCUGGACCCAACCGGCUAUCUGCAGUCAGACCAGAUGACCCAUGUGCUGCCCCUGCCCUUGGGUGCCCUAGACAUCUUUUAAGAGC
RNAcentral lists this ribosomal RNA (3031 nucleotides) under Ambystoma mexicanum (axolotl). RNAcentral's name for it is "eukaryotic LSU rRNA". It matches the Rfam family "Eukaryotic large subunit ribosomal RNA", at positions 1 to 2783 of the family's 3401-position model. Lineage: Eukaryota; Metazoa; Chordata; Amphibia; Caudata; Ambystomatidae. The record is from RNAcentral.